Molecule: small nucleolar RNA, 138 nt
Organism: Tachyglossus aculeatus (Australian echidna)
Lineage: Eukaryota; Metazoa; Chordata; Mammalia; Monotremata; Tachyglossidae
Source: RefSeq, a predicted model, not a curated record
CCCCUCUCAGAAUCACACCUGGAGAGUUUUCAGUGUUUUUUCAGUCUCAACUUCAGGAGGGAAAGUCAAGCAGAGGCAUACCCAUUCCAUUCCUAGCUUGGGCGGUAGCUAGAGAGUGGAAGGCAAUCUGCUACAAGU